UUUCCGUAGGUGAACCUGCGGAAGGAUCAUUAAAAGAAUUAUCUCGUAGAGAUUAUUUCUAUUUGUGAUUUAAGCGAAAACAAUAUGAAUUUGGGGGGGGAUUAAACAAUGGGGCCUUUUCUAUGCGAGAGCAAAUGGAAGGAACCGGCCCCCCCCCCCCAAUUCAAUGCCAAAAAUAUCCAUCUUCUUUUCAAUUUGACUGAUACAAUUUAUUUAUAUUUAUGGAUAAUUCAUAAAAUAACUUUCAACAACGGAUCUCUUGGUUCUC
This 268-nucleotide unclassified non-coding RNA is filed under the name plant metagenome. RNAcentral's name for it is "partial contains small subunit ribosomal RNA, internal transcribed spacer 1, and 5.8S ribosomal RNA". The record is from RNAcentral.